GGGGAAUUAGCUCAGCUGGCCAGAGCACUAGCUUUGCAAGCUAGGAGUCAUCGGUUCGAAUCCGAUAUUCUCCA
RNAcentral lists this transfer RNA (74 nucleotides) under Lentimicrobiaceae bacterium. RNAcentral's name for it is "tRNA-Ala". It matches the Rfam family "tRNA". From Rfam's summary of the family: Transfer RNA (tRNA) molecules are approximately 80 nucleotides in length. Their secondary structure includes four short double-helical elements and three loops (D, anti-codon, and T loops). Further hydrogen bonds mediate the characteristic L-shaped molecular structure. tRNAs have two regions of fundamental functional importance: the anti-codon, which is responsible for specific mRNA codon recognition, and the 3' end, to which the tRNAs corresponding amino acid is attached (by aminoacyl-tRNA synthetases). tRNAs cope with the degeneracy of the genetic code in two manners: having more than one tRNA (with a specific anti-codon) for a particular amino acid; and 'wobble' base-pairing, i.e. permitting non-standard base-pairing at the 3rd anti-codon position. Lineage: Bacteria; Pseudomonadati; Bacteroidota; Bacteroidia; Bacteroidales; Lentimicrobiaceae. The record is from RNAcentral.